UACGAAGGGGGCUAGCGUUGUUCGGAAUCACUGGGCGUAAAGCGUACGUAGGCGGACGAAUAAGUCAGGGGUGAAAGCCUGGAGCUCAACUCCAGAACUGCCUUUGAUACUGUUCGUCUUGAGUCCGGGAGAGGUGAGUGGAACUGCUAGUGUAGAGGUGAAAUUCGUAGAUAUUAGCAAGAACACCAGUGGCGAAGGCGGCUCACUGGCCCGGUACUGACGCUGAGGUACGAAAGCGUGGGGAGCAAAC
Molecule: ribosomal RNA, 250 nt
Filed under: uncultured bacterium
Lineage: Bacteria
Description: partial 16S ribosomal RNA
Rfam family: Bacterial small subunit ribosomal RNA
Source: RNAcentral